CCCUUAGAUGUUCUGGGCCGCACGCGCGCUACACUGACGAAUGCAACGAGCUUAUAACCUUGGCCGAAAGGUCUGGGUAAUCUCCAAAUUUCGUCGUGAUGGGGAUAGAUUAUUGCAAUUAUUAAUCUUCAACGAGGAAUGCCUAGUAAGCGCAAGUCAUCAGCUUGCGUUGAUUACGUCCCUGCCCUUUGUACACACCGCCCGUCGCUCCUACCGAUUGAAUGGUCCGGUGAAGCGUUCGGACCGUGGCCUUUGGACGGUUCGCCGUCUGUUGGCUGCGGGAGGUUCGUUAAACCUUAUCAUUUAGAGGAAGGAGAAGUCGUAACA
Molecule: ribosomal RNA, 327 nt
Filed under: uncultured eukaryote
Lineage: Eukaryota
Description: partial 18S ribosomal RNA
Rfam family: Eukaryotic small subunit ribosomal RNA
Source: RNAcentral